AAGAGGCCUUAUAGCUCUAUCUUGCACUCCUAGGACCUCUUCAAAGUCCUCUGACCUUCCUUAAUGAUAAUCUUCAUCCAUGCGACACUUUUUAAUAGAACUAAGGAGUCAUCAAGCACCUCGAGCAUCUUCAAUAUCUUAUAUAAAGGUUCGGGCAAAAUUUGGAUUGUAUCACAACGCUUUUUUUCUCUCCAUCUAAGAUAAAGAGCAUCCGAAAGAGCAAUCUUCAAGGUUUAGAAUAUCUGUCCUUCUUCAAAAGUUAAUACUAUGGAUAAAUUUUCACAUAAGGUGUAAGAAAGUGAUUUUGGACUAUUCAACGCAUAAGAUAGGAACAUUUGGAAGUAGGCAUGACUUAAAUUAUUUUACAUGUAAUUUUUGUACUUAAUCCAUAUCAUUGGUACUUUUUAUAUUUGUAAACAUUGAUGGAUUUAAUUUUGAAUAUAUAUUACGAAGACCGCUAUGAUCCUAUAUUGGUAGUAUCA
Molecule: long non-coding RNA, 482 nt
Organism: Capsicum annuum
Lineage: Eukaryota; Viridiplantae; Streptophyta; Magnoliopsida; Solanales; Solanaceae
Exons: 2
Source: RefSeq, a predicted model, not a curated record